UGUGACCUCAAAUCAGGUAGGACUACCCGCUGAACUUAAGCAUAUCAAUAAGCGGAGGAAAAGAAACUAACAAGGAUUCCCCUAGUAACUGCGAGUGAAGCGGGAAAAGCUCAAAUUUAAAAUCUGGCAGUCUUUGGCUGUCCGAGUUGUAAUCUAGAGAAGUGUUAUCCGCGCUGGACCGUGUACAAGUCUCCUGGAAUGGAGCGUCAUAGAGGGUGAGAAUCCCGUCUUUGACACGGACUACCAGGGCUUUGUGAUGCGCUCUCAAAGAGUCGAGUUGUUUGGGAAUGCAGCUCAAAAUGGGUGGUAAAUUCCAUCUAAAGCUAAAUAUUGGCGAGAGACCGAUAGCGAACAAGUACCGUGAGGGAAAGAUGAAAAGAACUUUGGAAAGAGAGUUAAACAGUACGUGAAAUUGCUGAAAGGGAAACGCUUGAAGUCAGUCGCGUUGUCCAGGGAUCAACCUUGCUUUUGCUUGGUGCACUUUCUGGUUGACGGGUCAGCAUCAAUUUUGACCAUUGGAAAAAGAUCAAGGGAAUGUGGCAUCUUUGGAUGUGUUAUAGCCCUUGGUUGCAUACGAUGGUUGGGAUUGAGGAACUCAGCACGCCGCAAGGCCGGGUUUUUAACCACGUACGUGCUAGGAUGC
This 643-nucleotide ribosomal RNA is filed under the name Cortinarius sp. 17 MD-2018. Its description in RNAcentral is "eukaryotic LSU rRNA". It matches the Rfam family "Eukaryotic large subunit ribosomal RNA", at positions 1 to 626 of the family's 3401-position model. Lineage: Eukaryota; Fungi; Basidiomycota; Agaricomycetes; Agaricales; Cortinariaceae. The record is from RNAcentral.